AACGAACGCUGGCGGCAUGCCUAACACAUGCAAGUCGAACGAUGCCUUCGGGCAUAGUGGCGCACGGGUGCGUAACGCGUGGGAAUCUGCCCUUGGCUUCGGAAUAACAGUUAGAAAUGACUGCUAAUACCGGAUGAUGUCCCCCUGAGAGAUCUUGGGGACCAAAGAUUUAUCGGCCAGGGAUGAGCCCGCGUAGGAUUAGGUAGUUGGUGGGGUAAAGGCCUACCAAGCCGACGAUCCUUAGCUGGUCUGAGAGGAUGAUCAGCCACACUGGGACUGAGACACGGCCCAGACUCCUACGGGGGGCAGCAGUGGGGAAUAUUGGACAAUGGGGGGAACCCUGAUCCAGCAAUGCCGCGUGAGUGAUGAAGGCCUUAGGGUUGUAAAGCUCUUUUACCAGGGAUGAUAAUGACAGUACCUGGAGAAUAAGCUCCGGCUAACUCCGUG
RNAcentral lists this ribosomal RNA (447 nucleotides) under uncultured bacterium. RNAcentral describes it as "partial 16S ribosomal RNA". It matches the Rfam family "Bacterial small subunit ribosomal RNA", at positions 29 to 507 of the family's 1533-position model. The record is from RNAcentral.